This 253-nucleotide ribosomal RNA is filed under the name uncultured bacterium. Its description in RNAcentral is "partial 16S ribosomal RNA". It matches the Rfam family "Bacterial small subunit ribosomal RNA", at positions 524 to 776 of the family's 1533-position model. The record is from RNAcentral.
UACGUAGGUGGCAAGCGUUAUCCGGACUUACUGGGCGUAAAGCGCACGCAGGCGGUCUUGUAAGUUUGACGUGAAAGCUCCCGGCUUAACUGGGAGAGGUCGUUGAAGACUGCAAGACUUGAGGAAAUGAGAGGGGUGUAGAAUUCCCGGUGUAGUGGUGGAAUGCGUAGAUAUCGGGGGGAAUACCAGUGGCGAAAGCGGCACCCUAGCAUUUUUCUGACGCUCAUGUGCGAAAGCGUGGGGAGCGAACGGG